ACUACGGGAGGCAGCAGUGAGGAAUAUUGGUCAAUGGGCGCGAGCCUGAACCAGCCAAGUAGCGUGAAGGAUGACUGCCCUACGGGUGGUAAACUCCUUUUAUAAAGGAAUAAAGUGAGGAACGUGUGCAGUUUUGUAUGUACUUUAUGAAUAAGGAUCGGCUAACUCCGUGCCAGCAGCCGCGGUAAUACGGAGGAUCCGAGCGUUAUCCGGAUUUAGUGGGUUUAAAGGGAGCGUAGAUGGGUUGUUAAGUCAGUUGUGAAAGUUUGCGGCUCAACCGUAAAAUUGCAAUUGAUACUGACAGCCUUUGGUACAGUUGGGGUAGGCGGAAUUCGUGGUGUAGCGGUGAAAUGCU
This 355-nucleotide ribosomal RNA is filed under the name uncultured bacterium. Its description in RNAcentral is "partial 16S ribosomal RNA". It matches the Rfam family "Bacterial small subunit ribosomal RNA", at positions 338 to 690 of the family's 1533-position model. The record is from RNAcentral.